GGUCUUGUAGCCCAGUAGGUUAGAGCGUCAGUCCAAUAAACUGAAAGUCAGUCUAAUAAACUGAAAGUCCACGGUUCGAUCCCGCGCUCGACCA
This is a transfer RNA of Gregarina niphandrodes, 94 nucleotides long. It matches the Rfam family "tRNA". From Rfam's summary of the family: Transfer RNA (tRNA) molecules are approximately 80 nucleotides in length. The record is from Rfam. NCBI's taxonomy places the organism in Eukaryota, Apicomplexa, Conoidasida, Eugregarinorida, Gregarinidae.